CGAAUGCUGACAUAAGUAACGAUAAAGCGGGUGAAAAGCCCGCUCGCCGGAAGACCAAGGGUUCCUGUCCAACGUUAAUCGGGGCAGGGUGAGUCGACCCCUAAGGCGAGGCCGAAAGGCGUAGUCGAUGGGAAACAGGUUAAUAUUCCUGUACUUGGUGUUACUGCGAAGGGGGGACGGAGAAGGCUAUGUUGGCCGGGCGACGGUUGUCCCGGUUUAAGCGUGUAGGCUGGUUUUCCAGGCAAAUCCGGAAAAUCAAGGCUGAGGCGUGAUGACGAGGCACUACGGUGCUGAAGCAACAAAUGCCCUGCUUCCAGGAAAAGCCUCUAAGCAUCAGGUAACAUCAAAUCGUACCCCAAACCGACACAGGUGGUCAGGUAGAGAAUACCAAGGCGCUUGAGAGAACUCGGGUGAAGGAACUAGGCAAAAUGGUGCCGUAACUUCGGGAGAAGGCACGCUGAUAUGUAGGUGAAGCGACUUGCUCGUGGAGCUGAAAUCAGUCGAAGAUACCAGCUGGCUGCAACUGUUUAUUAAAAACACAGCACUGUGCAAACACGAAAGUGGACGUAUACGGUGUGACGCCUGCCCGGUGCCGGAAGGUUAAUUGAUGGGGUUAGCGGUAACGCGAAGCUCUUGAUCGAAGCCCCGGUAAACGGCGGCCGUAACUAUAACGGUCCUAAGGUAGCGAAAUUCCUUGUCGGGUAAGUUCCGACCUGCACGAAUGGCGUAAUGAUGGCCAGGCUGUCUCCACCCGAGACUCAGUGAAAUUGAACUCGCUGUGAAGAUGCAGUGUACCCGCGGCAAGACGGAAAGACCCCGUGAACCUUUACUAUAGCUUGACACUGAACAUUGAGCCUUGAUGUGUAGGAUAGGUGGGAGGCUUUGAAGUGUGGACGCCAGUCUGCAUGGAGCCGACCUUGAAAUACCACCCUUUAAUGUUUGAUGUUCUAACGUUGGCCCCUAAUCGGGGUUGCGGACAGUGUCUGGUGGGUAGUUUGACUGGGGCGGUCUCCUCCUAAAGAGUAACGGAGGAGCACGAAGGUUGGCUAAUCCUGGUCGGACAUCAGGAGGUUAGUGCAAUGGCAUAAGCCAGCUUGACUGCGAGCGUGACGGCGCGAGCAGGUGCGAAAGCAGGUCAUAGUGAUCCGGUGGUUCUGAAUGGAAGGGCCAUCGCUCAACGGAUAAAAGGUACUCCGGGGAUAACAGGCUGAUACCGCCCAAGAGUUCAUAUCGACGGCGGUGUUUGGCACCUCGAUGUCGGCUCAUCACAUCCUGGGGCUGAAGUAGGUCCCAAGGGUAUGGCUGUUCGCCAUUUAAAGUGGUACGCGAGCUGGGUUUAGAACGUCGUGAGACAGUUCGGUCCCUAUCUGCCGUGGGCGCUGGAGAACUGAGGGGGGCUGCUCCUAGUACGAGAGGACCGGAGUGGACGCAUCACUGGUGUUCGGGUUGUCAUGCCAAUGGCACUGCCCGGUAGCUAAAUGCGGAAGAGAUAAGUGCUGAAAGCAUCUAAGCACGAAACUUGCCCCG
RNAcentral lists this ribosomal RNA (1527 nucleotides) under Escherichia coli. RNAcentral describes it as "partial 23S ribosomal RNA". It matches the Rfam family "Bacterial large subunit ribosomal RNA", at positions 1291 to 2801 of the family's 2925-position model. The record is from RNAcentral. Lineage: Bacteria; Pseudomonadati; Pseudomonadota; Gammaproteobacteria; Enterobacterales; Enterobacteriaceae.